This 1374-nucleotide ribosomal RNA is filed under the name Triticum aestivum (bread wheat). Its description in RNAcentral is "partial small subunit ribosomal RNA". The record is from RNAcentral. Lineage: Eukaryota; Viridiplantae; Streptophyta; Magnoliopsida; Poales; Poaceae.
AUGGAUGCGGCGGAUAGUGGGGGCCGGCGCGAGCGGAGAUGGAAGGGGAAGGCCGCGAGCUCGGCCGCGGAGAAGCAGCAGCAGCAGCUGGCGCCGGUUUUAGAAGACGCGCCGGCGGCCGCAUUGCUCCCGCCGCUGAAGAAGAUGCGGAGCCCCGACUGCCGCCUCCGCCGCUCCGUGUCCUCGCUGUCGUCGGCUCCUGCUUCCCCUGACUCCUCCUCUGUUUCCAACCCCCUCUCGCCGCCCGCGACGUCCUUGCCGCUCCACGCGUCGUCGACGCGGCAGAUAUUCCCGUUCGCGUACGAUCCGUCCCCGGCGGCGGCCCCGAGGCUCCUGCAGCUGUUGCGGUACUCCUCCAGCCUGUACCAACAGCCGAUGCUGCCGCAGCAGCUGCAGCAGCAGCAGCACACACCUUCGCAGCACCCGCAGAUGAUAUCCUUCGGCGAUGCCCAGCAGCAGCAGCAGCAGCAGUUCGAGGCGGCGGCGGCCUUGAUCCCGCCGCAGUACAUGGCGCCGGAGGCGCUGCGCUACUGGAGCGCGGCCCUGAACCUGAGCCCGCGAGGCGUGCUUGGCGGGGUCGUGCCGCCGGCGCUGUACCAGCACCUGCUGCGGCCGCCUGGCCCGGCCAAGCUGUACCGCGGCGUACGCCAGCGUCACUGGGGGAAGUGGGUGGCGGAGAUCCGCCUGCCACGGAACCGCACGCGCCUGUGGCUCGGCACCUUCGACACCGCCGAGGACGCGGCCAUGGCGUACGAUCGCGAGGCCUUCAAGCUGCGCGGCGAGAACGCGCGGCUCAACUUCCCCGACCUCUUCCUCGGCAAAGGCCGCUCCGGCGGCAGCGGCCGCACCAGCGCCAGCGCUGCGGCGUCGGCCUCCUCCUCCUCCACGUCCGCUCCGCCGACGCCGGACGAAACCCAUGCGCAGCAAGCUCAGCUGCUGCUCCAGCGUGAACAGCAGCAACAGCACACGGACGGGCAAGCGAACACUGGACCGAAACCUCCGCUCUCCGCAGCAGAGCAGGACGGCCAACCGGAACCAGAGCAAAAUCCUCAGCUCCAGAACGCAGAGCAACAUUGCAGCGACGGCAGCACGGCCAUGAUGCAGCAGGCUCCAGUGACCCCCGGCGGCGUCUGGGGCCCCGCCGACGACGCAUGGUUCAGCGCGUGGGGCCCGGGCAGCUCUGUCUGGGACUACGACAUGGACAGCGCUCAUGGCCUCUUACUCCAGUCUCGCUUCGCCGGUGAGCAGGCCGGCAUGGACUACGUCCCCAGUGCGCCGGAAGCCCACGUGGCACCGGCGGCAGGGACAGGCACGGCCUGUGGCGCUCCCCCUUCUCCUCUUCCUCCUCGUCCUCCCUUCAUGUGGAAGGACUAG